Molecule: ribosomal RNA, 467 nt
Filed under: uncultured bacterium
Lineage: Bacteria
Description: partial 16S ribosomal RNA
Rfam family: Bacterial small subunit ribosomal RNA
Source: RNAcentral
GACGAACGCUGGCGGCGUGCUUAACACAUGCAAGUCGAACGGAAAGGCCCUGCGUUUGUGGCGUGCUCGAUUGGCGAACGGGUGAGUAACACGUGAGUAACCUGCCCUUGACUUUGGGAUAACUUCAGGAAACUGGGGCUAAUACCGGAUAGGAGCUCCUGCUGCAUGGUGGGGGUUGGAAAGUUUCGGCGGUUGGGGAUGGAAUUGCGGCUUAUCAGCUUGUUGGGGGGGUAGUGGCUGACAAAGGCUUUGACGGCUAGCCGGCCUGAGAGGGUGACCGGCUACAGUGGGAUAGAGGAGGGGCCAGGACGCAAACGGGAGGCAGGAGUGGGAACCAGUGCAAACAGGGCGGCGGCAUGGUGGAGGAUCGUCGCGUGGGAGAUGACGGCCUUCGGGGUGUAAAACGCUUGCGCGUGUCACGAAGCGUGAGUAACGUUAAUGAGUAAAGAAGCACCGCCUAAUUACGU